RNAcentral lists this ribosomal RNA (419 nucleotides) under Fopius vandenboschi. RNAcentral describes it as "partial 12S ribosomal RNA". Lineage: Eukaryota; Metazoa; Arthropoda; Insecta; Hymenoptera; Braconidae. The record is from RNAcentral.
UAAACUAGGAUUAGAUACCCUAUUAUUAUACCUAAAUUUUAAUUAAUUUAAAAAUUAAAUGAUAAAUCACUAAAUUUAAAAAAUUUGACAGUAUAUUAUUUUCAUAGAGGAAUAUAUUUUUAAUAGAUAAUAAACUAUAAUAAAUACUUAAAUUCAAUGUUUAUAUAUUAUUGUUUUAAAAUUAAAUUUUUAAAUUAUUAUUAAUUAAAAUAUUUUUAAAAUAAAAAUUCAAAUCAUAAUAUAACUUAUAUUUAAGAAAAUUAGUAUUACUUUAUUUUAAAAUAAAAUUUUAAAAAAUUAUUUUUUUAAAAAAUUAGAAUUUAUAACUAAAAAAAAUUAAUUAAUUUUUUGAAAAUAUAAUUAAUAUAUGUACAUAUUGCCCGUCAUUUUCAUAACUGAAAUAAGUCGUAACAUAGUAA